GUGGGGAAUCUUGCGCAAUGGGCGAAAGCCUGACGCAGCAACGCCGCGUGCGGGAUGAAGGCCUUCGGGUUGUAAACCGCUGUCAAGAGGGACGAAGCGAAAGUGACGGUACCUCUAGAGGAAGCCCCGGCUAACUACGUGCCAGCAGCCGCGGUAAUACGUAGGGGGCAAGCGUUGUCCGGAUUUAUUGGGCGUAAAGCGCGCGUAGGCGGCUUGUCAAGUCGGGUGUGAAAACCGGGGGCUUAACCCGCGGACUGCACUCGAAACUGGCAGGCUGGAGUCCGGUAGAGGAAAGUGGAAUUCCUAGUGUAGCGGUGAAAUGCGCAGAUAUUAGGAAGAACACCAGUGGCGAAGGCGGCUUUCUGGGCCGCGACUGACGCUGAGGCGCGAAAGCUAGGGGAGCGAACAGGAUUAGAAACCCCAGUAGUCC
Molecule: ribosomal RNA, 430 nt
Filed under: uncultured bacterium
Lineage: Bacteria
Description: bacterial SSU rRNA
Rfam family: Bacterial small subunit ribosomal RNA
Source: RNAcentral